AGGAAGCUAAUGAACCUAAGAAUCGAUCAUCGACUGCUUCUAGCAAAUCAUCGAAAGCUGCCGAGAAAACAGCGUAUCUUAAAAAGGCAUUAAAGCUUCUUGGAACGGAAAAGUUUAGCGAAUUAUCGGAUGCUAUAAAGCAAUUUAAACAGAAUAAUGAUUUUGAAAGAUUUCUGUUCUUUAUGAUGACAAUGUUGCUCAAAGAAAAGAAGUUUUAUGAAUUAUUUUUGGGUUUUGCUGAGAAUCUAAGGGGAUCAAACAGAGCAAAGUUUCUUGAGAAAUUCACUGAUAUUACUGGCGAAGCUGUACCGGAUGAAUAUGAAAAAAGAAAGAGAUCUGAACCUACACAAGAGCCUGAACCGGACGUUUCUUCUACAAAAAUACGUAAACUUAGUUGACAUACGUGUACACGAGCUGAGAGAAUUUUUCAGGCGAUUUAAUGAAUUUCAAAUACUGUGA
This is a long non-coding RNA of Xenia sp. Carnegie-2017, 459 nucleotides long. RefSeq lists it as uncharacterized. Lineage: Eukaryota; Metazoa; Cnidaria; Anthozoa; Malacalcyonacea; Xeniidae. The record is from RefSeq and is a predicted model, not a curated record. The transcript is spliced from 6 exons.